GAUGAAGAACGCAGCGAAAUGCGAUAGGUAGUGUGAAUUGCAGAUGUAACGUGAAUCAUCGAAUCUUUGAACGCAAAUUGCACUCUCUGGUAUUCCGGGGAGUAUGCCUGUUUGAGGGUCGCCAAAUCAACAUCGAAAUUCAUUUGCUUUUGUAAAUGUUUAUCGGAUUUGAGCCGUCUUUUAUUUUUUUAAUUAAAGUGGCUUAAAAUGUAUUUUUUGGUAUCGAAAAACGUUAUUUUACGAUCAAAUUGAUUAAAAAAACAAACGUUUCGAAAGCCGUCUUUUAAUGUAAUACGCUUGACUGUGGUGUUAAUCAUAGUUUCAUUCGUAUACGAUUUUUUAAUUUUUGACCUCAAAUCAGGUAAGAACACCCGCUGAACUUAAGCAUAUCAAUAAGCGGAGGA
Molecule: unclassified non-coding RNA, 404 nt
Filed under: soil metagenome
Description: partial contains 5.8S ribosomal RNA, internal transcribed spacer 2, and large subunit ribosomal RNA
Rfam family: 5.8S ribosomal RNA (bases 1-121)
Source: RNAcentral